Molecule: long non-coding RNA, 1290 nt
Organism: Oncorhynchus tshawytscha (Chinook salmon)
Lineage: Eukaryota; Metazoa; Chordata; Actinopteri; Salmoniformes; Salmonidae
Source: Ensembl
CUACAAUACAACAUGACAACACAACUACAUAACACCAUUAAAUACAGUUGGAAUGUAGUUAGAACUCAAACUGUUUCCGUCAAACAGAAAAACAACAAUAAAUCUGGAUCAACACAUUUAUAUUUCUAGAUGCUGCACUUUGCUGUUUCAUUACCCAGACAGCUGUUUAAGGUCAUACCAAGGCAGAGUGUAGUAUCAGUACUUAGGGGUCAUAGGUCAUACCAAGGCAGAGUGUAGUAUCAGUACUUAGGGGUCAUAGGUCAGACCAAGGCAGAGUGUAGUAUCAGUACUUAGGGGUCAUAGGUCAGAUCAGUGGUCAUGGCUGAUAUACAUGGACUAGAAAACAAACUUUAAGACCAUUUUUCUAAGAUUCACUGUUUGUGUAGAUGCUGUUUGUCUCUUUAGGACUGUAGUUCAGGUGGCUGUUUGUGUAGAUGCUGUUUGUCUCUUUAGGACAGUAGUUCAGGUGGCUGUUUGUGUAGAUGCUGUUUGUCUUUACUAGGACAGUAGUUCAGGUGGCUGUUUGUGUAGAUGCUGUUUGUCUCUGUAGGACAGUAGUUCAGGUGGCUGUUUGUGUAGAUGCUGUUUGUCUCUGUAGGACUGUAGUUCAGGUGGAUGUUUGUGUAGAUGCUGUUUGUCUUUGUAUGACAGUAGUUCAGGUGGUUGUUUGUGUAGAUGCUGUUUGUCUUUGUAGGACAGUAGUUCAGGUGGCUGUUUGUCUCUUUAGGACUGUAGUUCAGGUGGCUGUUUGUCUUUGUAGGACAGUAGUUCAGGUGGUUGUUUGUCUUUGUAGGACAGUAGUUCAGGUGGUUGUUUGUGGAGAUGCUGUUUGUCUCUGUAGGACAGUAGUUCAGGUGGCUGUUUGUGUAGAUGCUGUUUGUCUCUGUAGGACAGUAGUUCAGGUGGCUGUUUGUGUAGAUGCUGUUUGUCUUUGUAGGACAGUAGUUCAGGUGGCUGUUUGUCUUUGUAGGACAGUAGUUCAGGUGGCUGUUUGUCUUUGUAGGACAGUAGUUCAGGUGGCUGUUUGUGUAGAUGCUGUUUGUCUUUGUAGGACAGUAGUUCAGGUGGCUGCCCUUGCACUUAGUCUGCCUCCUGCCCCCCCAUCGUCAUGGUUACACCUUCCUGAAUACAAUGACUCCCAUACUUUGCUGAAACCUGUUCUGCCAGUUCAUGUCCUUAAAGUCUAGAAUGUUCCAAUGUGGUUACCCAAAGAGAUGACAAGAUAGUUCACACAUGCAUCUUUCAGGGUAACUGUCAAACAGACAUGUCACAUUUCUGGUUGGUCCAUAA